GCAGUCGCCGCGGGAAUACGAAGGGUGCAAGCGUUACUCGGAAUUACUGGGCGUAAAGCGUGCGUAGGUGGUGGUUUAAGUCCGUUGUGAAAGCCCUGGGCUCAACCUGGGAAUUGCAGUGGAUACUGGAUCACUAGAGUGUGGUAGAGGAUAGUGGAAUUUCCGGUGUAGCAGUGAAAUGCGUAGAGAUCGGAAGGAACAUCUGUGGCGAAGGCGACUAUCUGGGCCAACACUGACACUGAGGCACGAAAGCGUGGGGAGCAAACAGGAUUAGAGACCCCGGUAGUCCCUGUCUCUUAUAC
RNAcentral lists this ribosomal RNA (302 nucleotides) under uncultured bacterium. RNAcentral describes it as "partial 16S ribosomal RNA". It matches the Rfam family "Bacterial small subunit ribosomal RNA", at positions 508 to 807 of the family's 1533-position model. The record is from RNAcentral.